This 624-nucleotide ribosomal RNA is filed under the name uncultured Armatimonadota bacterium. RNAcentral describes it as "uncultured Armatimonadetes bacterium partial 16S ribosomal RNA". It matches the Rfam family "Bacterial small subunit ribosomal RNA", at positions 9 to 645 of the family's 1533-position model. The record is from RNAcentral. Lineage: Bacteria; Bacillati; Armatimonadota.
GAGUUUGAUCCUGGCUCAGGACGAACGCUAGCGGCGUGCCUAAGAAAUGCAAGUCGAACGAAGUUAGAGAGCUUGCUCUCGAAGCUUAGUGGCGAACGGUCGCGUAACACGUAAGCAACCUGCCUCAAAGUUUGGGAUAGCCCUCCGAAAGGGGGAUUAAUACCGGAUGUGGAUAACUUUUGGCAUCAUUAGUUAUCUAAAGCAGUAAUGCGCUUUGAGAUGGGCUUGCGGCCUAUCAGCUAGUUGGUGGGGUAAAGGCCUACCAAGGCGACGACGGGUAGCUGGUCUGAGAGGAUGAUCAGCCGGACUGGGACUGAGAUACGGCCCAGACUCCUACGGGGGGCAGCAAUUAGGAAUCUUGCGCAAUGGGCGAAAGCCUGACGCAGCGACGCCGCGUGACUGAUGAAGUCUCUCGGGAUGUAAAGGUCUUUUCUGGAGGAAGAAAGAAAUGACGGUACUCCAGGAAUAAGCCCCGGCUAACUACGUGCCAGCAGCCGCGGUAAUACGUAGGGGGCGAGCGUUGUCCGAAUUUACUGGGCGUAAAGCGCGCGUAGCGGACUAUUAAGUUGGUGGUGAAAUCCCGAGGCUCAACCUCGGAACUGCCUCCAAAACUGUUAGUCUUGA